GUCUGGGUGGUGUAGUUGGUUAUCACGUUAGUCUUACACACUAAAGGUCCGCAGUUCGAACCUGGGCUCAGACA
Non-coding RNA from Cryptomeria japonica (Japanese cedar), 74 nucleotides. NCBI's taxonomy places the organism in Eukaryota, Viridiplantae, Streptophyta, Pinopsida, Cupressales, Cupressaceae. The record is from the annotation of a RefSeq genome assembly.